GUCUCGUAAUUUAUGGGCGCCGGGCGGGCUUAUUUAUUCUGUUUUGAGGCUCCUCCAUAUAUAAGCCUGUUAUCAUUCUUGGAACCUCUUCAUUCGUGAGUUUUGAUCAAGGGAUUACCGUCUCCUCGUCCGACAUCAUGUGUGCGUUUAAGAUUGCCCUCUGUCUGGCCCUCUGCGCCGUGGUCGCCUGCCAAAACCAGGGCGCCAACCAGUUCCAACAACAAGGCCAGCAGCAAAACUUUGAUCAACAACAGCAAUACCAACCUCAGCCUCAACAGCCACAACAGCAGCAGCAGCCGUCAUUCCAGCCCCAGCAACCACAAUCGUUCCAACCACAACAGACGCAACAAUUCCAACCACCGCAAUUCAACUCAUUCCCGCAAUUCCAACAGCAGCAGCAGCCAUUCCAGCAGCAAGAGCAGCCCAACUUCGGCGGCGAGUCAGACGAGAAGCAAGACGACAACCAGUCCCCGCAGCAACAAGAUCAGUCCCCGAGUCCCCAAGGAGGCCAGUCCUUUGGUCAGAACUCCCCGAGCCAACCCCAAAGCAAUUCAUUCCCCUCCUUCCCGUCUUUUGACUCCAACUCCUUCUCCUUCGGCGGUGGAUUCUACAACCAGAAGCCCCUCGGUCUCGGCGACAAGAGAUUCAGCGUCGUCGGCCCUGACGGCUUCACCAGAACCGUAGACUACACCAACGUCUUCAACGACGAGCACGCUGACCUCCCCGCUAACCUUCCCCCAGCGUCCGUCUACAAGUAUGCACCUUACGCCUCCAGCAUCCCGACCUUCUACCGACCUGCCGUUGCUGUCCGACCUGCAGUGACCACCCUCCACGCACCUGCUGUCACCGCCUACCACGCACCCAUCACAACGUACCACGCACCGGCUGUUGUUCCUGCUGCCGUCCAUGCCCCGGUCGUCGCUGCAGUCCGCGCUCCCGUCGUCAGCACGGUCCAUGCUCCGGUCGUCACAGCUGUCCGCCCGCCCGUCGUCAGCACUGUCGCCGCCGCACCGGUUGUAGCAGCCGUUCGCACACCAGUCGUCAGCACUGUCCAUGCUCCGGUUGUUACCGCCGUUCAUCCCCCUGUUGCCUACGCCGCUUACCCUAGGUACCAGUCCGUCUCAUAUGUAGGUUAGUAAGUCUUCUCGCAGUCAAUCUCACUGUGUAUUUAUUCCCGUAUCGAAGUUGUUAUCAGGUGUUAAAUGAUGUUACCAAAAUGAAGUUCCUCGUCCGUUUUUAUAACUAAAUUAUUAAAUUAUUUUUUGAACAAAUUCCGUGUAAUUUUUUCUAUGUGUCUGAUUUUAAGAGAUCUUCCUUUGCGGAUAAAGAAAAAUUAUCCAAAAACAUUUUCUUUUCUUAUACUAAAACAAAAUGCUCUGAGAUUUAAAGAAUAUUUUUUGUGUAAAAUUUGUAACCGUUUUUCAGUAAAGUAAGUUUUUCUUUUUUUUCUUUUUCUUAAUGGGAAUAAAUCUUUAAUAAAUAGAAGUAACGUUUCUUUGAAUUGAAAUUUACUGACAUGACUAUGAAAAAAGUCUCUCUCACUUCAAAAAAGUUUUUCUUAACUUGUAAGGAAAAUUUUUCUUCAUCACAACAGUUUUUAAUCGUUGGGAUCUUAGUUUUAAUUAGAAAAUAUGGAAAUCAUGUCAAGGGGGAGGGGGGGACAUUUAGAAAUAUUUUUAGUGCUACUACGGUAACUUAACUUCUAAACUUGAGCCAAAUAAUAAAAAAACAAAAUGAAAUAAUUUAA
Molecule: long non-coding RNA, 1747 nt
Filed under: Bemisia tabaci
Lineage: Eukaryota; Metazoa; Arthropoda; Insecta; Hemiptera; Aleyrodidae
Description: lncRNA ENSASIAIIG002603
Source: RNAcentral